This 505-nucleotide ribosomal RNA is filed under the name uncultured bacterium. Its description in RNAcentral is "partial 16S ribosomal RNA". It matches the Rfam family "Bacterial small subunit ribosomal RNA", at positions 29 to 523 of the family's 1533-position model. The record is from RNAcentral.
AGUGAACGCUGGCGGUGGGCCUAACACAUGCAAGUCGAACGGCAGCACAGAGGAGCUUGCUCCGUGGGUGGCGAGUGGCGACGGGUGAGGAAUACAUCGGAAUCUACUCUGUCGUGGGGGAUAACGUAGGGAAACUUACGCUAAUACCGCAUACGACCUACGGGUGAAAGCAGGGGAUCUUCGGACCUUGCGCGAUUGAAUGAGCCGAUGUCGGAUUAGCUAGUUGGCGGGGUAAAGGCCCACCAAGGCGACGAUCCGUAGCUGGUCUGAGAGGAUGAUCAGCCACACUGGAACUGAGACACGGUCCAGACUCCUACGGGAGGCAGCAGUGGGGAAUAUUGGACAAUGGGCGCAAGCCUGAUCCAGCCAUACCGCGUGGGUGAAGAAGGCCUUCGGGUUGUAAAGCCCUUUUGUUGGGAAAGAAAUCCAUCUGGUUAAUACCCGGGUGGGAUGACGGUACCCAAAGAAUAAGCACCGGCUAACUUCGUGCCAGCCGCCGCAGUAA